AUCCUGGUGUCUUUAGCCAAUCUGAUACACUUUAAUCCAUUUCGAACUUAAUUGUGAAACGGUUGAGCGGAAAAUAUACUUUGAGGGUCGCCUCACGGGAAACUAUCUCGGUGCCAGGAU
Molecule: ribosomal RNA, 120 nt
Filed under: Eutreptiella sp. CCMP1594
Lineage: Eukaryota; Euglenozoa; Euglenophyceae; Eutreptiales; Eutreptiaceae
Source: RNAcentral